Molecule: long non-coding RNA, 1327 nt
Organism: Astyanax mexicanus (Mexican tetra)
Lineage: Eukaryota; Metazoa; Chordata; Actinopteri; Characiformes; Acestrorhamphidae
Exons: 2
Source: RefSeq, a predicted model, not a curated record
UGAGCAAUCGAUUCAGUCUUCAAUCGAGCCAACAACCAGCCAAUCACAUCACGCUCCGAAGAUCACGUGACAGGUAGCGCCUCAGUACAGCACAGCCCCCUCCGCUGCUGCUCUCGAGAAGGUGAGUGUAAAACAGCUGAAAACAGGGCAUUUACCUCACCACUGUGGCCAUGUAAUAUCACUUAAACGGUGUAGAAAUCCUCACUUUAACCAGGGUUUGCUCUGUGGUUUGUAAACAUAUUAAAUUAAGAUAGAUAUCCAGAUAUACCUUGUUAAACUAAAUAAAUAAAGCUCCUCUGUUCAUUUCAGAAAGCGCUUCAAACACCAACACUAGAUCAAUUAUUUAUAAAUACAGCCAGACUGUGUGGAAGAUAAUUACUACUGUAGAAUCUGAGAUAGUAACUUAGUUUGCUAAAUUAUAGCUACCUAUCUUGCUAGUUAGCUGUGGGACUGUGCGAUUAUAGACAAGAUACUACCUAGUUAGCGGUUUGUUUAGCAAUACCUUAUUUACACUUUGCUGCAAAGUAUGUUGCUUAGUGUACUGGCCACUGUCUAAAUAAAUAUAUUAAGCUAUAUUACACUUACUGUACCCCUCUCAGGCCGGUCCUCUCAUUAAAUAAAGGAGAUUUAUUAGAAUUGCUUUUUGUCUCUUUACUAACUAAUUUAACAGAGAUAAAUUAAGAUAUGACCAGUAUUAAUUUUAUGAUAUUGAUUUUAAUGUUUAUAUUUAAUAUAUAUUUUAUAAAUUUGUUAACAAUUCAACUCAGGCUUUAACUGAGGAUAUCAGCAGUAAAUAAUAGUCCUAAAAUGCUUGUGUAAUUAAGAUACAGCAUGAUUAGUCCUAUUUACUAGUGCAUCUCAAUAGUGAAAAAUAUAUAUUUGUGUUUAAUAUCGUUCAGUAAACGGUCACAUUUAACUUUUUUUAUUUAAACUAGUUUAAACUACAUAUUCUAGUAAACUGGGUUAAGGUUGGGACAGUAAUUCUGGUUUAAUGAACUUUUAGCCAGGUAAAAAUGAUUUGGAAUAUGUCACUUUACAUGUAGUGUAAUGUAUAAUUUCUGUUAAAUUAUGAUAUUCUCAUGAUCUUCAGAUUUUCUGAGAUGCAUUAGUAAUUGGUUUGUGCCAAAACCAAUGCAAUAAUAAUUGCAAAAAUGUUUUAUAUAAAUGAAGUAAAUACUGAAUCCAAACAACACCAAGUUUAACACAGUCAUACUUCUUGUCUUCAUUUUCUUAAACAGGAUAUUUUCUCCCAGAAAAAGAAAGGAUAAUAAAAGGUUUCCUUUCUCCAAACUUUUAAAGAACAAAUAAAGAAAUCCAAUUUCAUGCA